Molecule: ribosomal RNA, 370 nt
Filed under: uncultured organism
Description: partial 16S ribosomal RNA
Rfam family: Bacterial small subunit ribosomal RNA
Source: RNAcentral
GUAGGGUCCAAGCGUUAAUCGGAAUUACUGGGCGUAAAGCGUGCGCAGGCGGUUGUGCAAGACCGAUGUGAAAUCCCCGGGCUUAACCUGGGAAUUGCAUUGGUGACUGCACGGCUAGAGUGUGUCAGAGGGGGUAGAAUUCCACGUGUAGCAGUGAAAUGCGUAGAGAUGUGGAGGAAUACCGAUGGCGAAGGCAGCCCCCUGGGAUAACACUGACGCUCAUGCACGAAAGCGUGGGGGGAGCAAACAGGAUUAGAUACCCUGGUAGUCCACGCCCUAAACCGAUGUCAGCUAGUUGUUGGGGAUUCAUUUCCUUAGUAACGUAGCUAACGCGUGAAGUUGACCGCCUGGGAGUACGGUCGCAAGAUUA